AGAGUUUGAUCAUGGCUCAGGAUGAACGCUAGCGGCAGGCCUAACACAUGCAAGUCGAACGGGGUGUAGCGAUACACUUAGUGGCGGACGGGUGCGGAACGCGUACGGAACAUGUCCUGGAGUGGGGGAUACCGGUUCGAAAGGAUCGUUAAUACCGCAUAAUGCAGCGGCAGCAUAAGCUGACAGUUGUUAAAGAUAUAUUGCUUCAGGGGUGUCGUGCGUGGGAUUAGCUAGUUGGUGGGGUAACGGCCCACCAAGGCGACGAUCCCUAGCUGGUCUGAGAGGAUGAUCAGCCACACGGGCACUGAGACACGGGCCCGACUCCUACGGGAGGCAGCAGUGGGGAAUAUUGGGCAAUGGGCGGAAGCCUGACCCAGCCAUGCCGCGUGCGGGAAGAAGGCCCACUGGGUUGUAAACCGCUUUUCUUCGGGGAUAAGACGGUAUUAGAUACCGGUUGAAGGUACUGAGGGAAUAAGCACCGGCAAACUACGUGCCAGCAGCCGCGGUAAUUC
This 512-nucleotide ribosomal RNA is filed under the name uncultured bacterium. RNAcentral describes it as "bacterial SSU rRNA". It matches the Rfam family "Bacterial small subunit ribosomal RNA", at positions 8 to 526 of the family's 1533-position model. The record is from RNAcentral.